UGUUCUAUAGUUCAGUUGGUGGAACGUUUCAUUAUUAAUGCGAAGGCCGCUGGUUAGAGUUCAGCUAGAGCAU
This 73-nucleotide transfer RNA is filed under the name Weissella viridescens. It matches the Rfam family "tRNA". From Rfam's summary of the family: Transfer RNA (tRNA) molecules are approximately 80 nucleotides in length. Their secondary structure includes four short double-helical elements and three loops (D, anti-codon, and T loops). Lineage: Bacteria; Bacillati; Bacillota; Bacilli; Lactobacillales; Lactobacillaceae. The record is from Rfam by way of RNAcentral.